GAUUAUGGCUCAGAACGAACGCUGGCGGCAUGCCUAAUACAUGCAAGUCGAACGGAGAUAGCAAUAUCUUAGUGGCGAACGGGUGCGUAACACGUGAGCAACCUGCCUUAUACAUCGGAAUAACAGCUGGAAACGGCUGCUAAUACCGGAUAAGACCACACCAAGGCAUCUUGGAGAGGUCAAAGCGAAUUAGCGGUAUAAGAUGGGCUCGCGUCCAAUUAGCUAGUUGGUGGGGUAACGGCCCACCAAGGCAACGAUUGGUAGCCGACUUGAGAGAGUGAUCGGCCACACUGGAACUGAGACACGGUCCAGACUCCUACGGGAGGCAGCAGUAGGGAAUAUUGGGCAAUGGAGGAAGCCUCUUACCCAGCAAUGCCGCGUGAAUGAUGAAGGUCUUAUGGAUUGUAAAGUUCUUUAAUUGGGGACGAAAGAAAUGACGGUACCCAAAGAAUAAGCCCCGGCUAACUAUGUGCCAGCCGCCGC
Molecule: ribosomal RNA, 483 nt
Filed under: uncultured bacterium
Lineage: Bacteria
Description: bacterial SSU rRNA
Rfam family: Bacterial small subunit ribosomal RNA
Source: RNAcentral